Long non-coding RNA from Aplysia californica (California sea hare), 231 nucleotides. RefSeq lists it as uncharacterized. The record is from RefSeq and is a predicted model, not a curated record. NCBI's taxonomy places the organism in Eukaryota, Metazoa, Mollusca, Gastropoda, Aplysiida, Aplysiidae. The transcript is spliced from 2 exons.
AGAUGCAACUCUAACCCUAGCAUUGAAGAUUGCGGCUCAAGUCUGGUGUUUGUGGCAGACGAAAUGAGGUGCUCAGUACCCUGAGUUCAAGUCCAGUCAUCUUUUUGAAACAACGAUUUAUUGCCGUCACUGACUGGCGAGGUCUCCGGAUUUGGCUGCCACAAAACUUCACAGCUAGACUGACUAAAGAUGUACAGAAAAUAAACGUCUGGUGUGUACUAAGGAUCGGGA